This 71-nucleotide transfer RNA is filed under the name Marmota monax (woodchuck). RNAcentral's name for it is "tRNA.Ala". Lineage: Eukaryota; Metazoa; Chordata; Mammalia; Rodentia; Sciuridae. The record is from RNAcentral.
GGGAGUAUAGCUCAGUGGUAAAGUACUUACCUGGCAUGUGCGAGGCCUAGGUUUGGACCCUAGUACUACAU